UCCUACGGGGGGCAGCAGUCGGGAAUAUUGCGCAAUGGAGGAAACUCUGACGCAGUGACGCCGCGUAUAGGAAGAAGGUUUUCGGAUUGUAAAGCUCUGUUGGUAGUGAAGAAAGAUAGAGGUAGUAACUGGCCUUUAUUUGACGGUAAUUACUUAGAAAGUCACGGCUAACUACGUGCCAGCAGCCGCGGUAAUACGUAGGUGGCAAGCGUUGUCCGGAUUUAUUGGGCGUAAAGCGAGUGCAGGCGGAUUAAUAAGGCUGAUGUGAAAGCCUUCGGCUCAACCGGAGAAAUGCAUCAGAAACU
Molecule: ribosomal RNA, 305 nt
Filed under: uncultured bacterium
Lineage: Bacteria
Description: bacterial SSU rRNA
Rfam family: Bacterial small subunit ribosomal RNA
Source: RNAcentral